UCUGAGUGAUUUCCGCUAAGGAAGUCUUUUGGCACCUCUAAAAAUGGUGCAGAAUAAGGGGUGGGCAAGUCUGGUGUCAGCCGCCGCGGUAAUACCAGCACCCCGAGUGGUCGGGACGAUUAUUGGGCCUAAAGCAUCCGUAGCCGGUCCUGCAAGUCCUCCGUUAAAUCCACCCGCUCAACGGUUGGGCCGCGGGGGAUACUACAGGGCUAGGAGGCGGGAGAGGCAAGCGGUACUCGAUGGGUAGGGGUAAAAUCCACUGAUCCAUUGAAGACCACCAGUGGCGAAGGCGGCCUGCCAGAACGCGCUCGACGGUGAGGGAUGAAAGCUGGGGGAGCAAACCGGAUUAGAUACCCGGGUAGUCCCAGCUGUAAACGAUGCAGACUCGGUGAUGGGCUGGCUUCGUGCCAACCCGGUGCCGCAGGGAAGCCGUUAAGUCUGCCGCCUGGGGAGUACGGUCGCAAGACUGGAACUUAAAGGAAUUGGCGGGGGAGCAC
This 497-nucleotide ribosomal RNA is filed under the name uncultured archaeon. RNAcentral describes it as "bacterial SSU rRNA". It matches the Rfam family "Archaeal small subunit ribosomal RNA", at positions 380 to 879 of the family's 1478-position model. The record is from RNAcentral.